Molecule: transfer RNA, 73 nt
Filed under: Felis catus (domestic cat)
Lineage: Eukaryota; Metazoa; Chordata; Mammalia; Carnivora; Felidae
Description: tRNA-OTHER
Source: RNAcentral
GCCUGGUUGGUGCAGUUGGUAGAACAAGCAGCUCUUGAUCUCAGAGUUGUGAGUUUGAGUCCUACCAUGGGUG